RNAcentral lists this ribosomal RNA (492 nucleotides) under uncultured bacterium. RNAcentral describes it as "partial 16S ribosomal RNA". It matches the Rfam family "Bacterial small subunit ribosomal RNA", at positions 29 to 507 of the family's 1533-position model. The record is from RNAcentral.
AGUGAACGCUGGCGGUAGGCCUAACACAUGCAAGUCGAACGGCAGCACAGUAAGAGCUUGCUCUUACGGGUGGCGAGUGGCGGACGGGUGAGGAAUACAUCGGAAUCUACUUUUUCGUGGGGGAUAACGUGGGGAAACUUCCGCUAAUACCGCAUACGACCUACGGUUGAAAGCAGGGGAUCUUCGGACUUUGCGCGAUUGAAUGAGCCGAUGUCGGAUUAGCUAGUUGGCGGGGUAAAGGCCCACCAAGGCGACGAUCCGUAGCUGGUCUGAGAGGAUGAUCAGCCACACUGGAACUGAGACACGGUCCAGACUCCUACGGGAGGCAGCAGUGGGGAAUAUUGGACAAUGGGCGCAAGCCUGAUCCAGCCAUACCGCGUGGGUGAAGAAGGCCUUCGGGUUGUAAAGCCCUUUUGUUGGGAAAGAAAAGCAGCAGGUUAAUACCCCGCUGUUCUGACGGUACCCAAAGAAUAAGCACCGGCUAACUUCGUG